RNAcentral lists this ribosomal RNA (867 nucleotides) under uncultured archaeon. RNAcentral describes it as "bacterial SSU rRNA". It matches the Rfam family "Archaeal small subunit ribosomal RNA", at positions 1 to 878 of the family's 1478-position model. The record is from RNAcentral.
CUCGGGUUGAUCCCGCCGGACCCGACUGCUAUCAGAGUGGGACUAAGCCAUGCGAGUCAACGUAGCAAUACGUGGCAUACGGCUCAGUAACACGUAGUCAACAUGCCCAGGGGACGAGGAUAACCUCGGGAAACUGAGGAUAAACCUCGAUAGGCCAUGAUUUCUGGAAUGAUUCUUGGCUCAAACCUAUAUGGCCCCUGGAUUGGACUGCGGCCGAUCAGGCUGUUGGUGAGGUAAUGGCCCACCAAACCUAUUACCGGUACGGGCUCUGAGAGGAGGAGCCCGGAGAUGGGCACUGAGACAAGGGCCCAGGCCCUAUGGGGCGCAGCAGGCGCGAAACCUCUGCAAUAGGCGAAAGCUUGACAGGGUUACUCUGAGUGAUUUCCGCUAAGGGAAUCUUUUGGCACCUCUAAAAAUGGUGCAGAAUAAGGGGUGGGCAAGUCUGGUGUCAGCCGCCGCGGUAAUACCAGCACCCCGAGUGGUCGGGACGAUUAUUGGGCCUAAAGCAUCCGUAGCCGGUCCUGCAAGUCUUCCGUUAAAUCCAGCUGCUCAACAGAUGGGCUGCGGGAGAUACUACAGGGCUAGGAGGCGGGAGAGGCAAGCGGUACUUUAUGGGUAGGGGCAAAAUCCGCUGAUCCAUAGAAGACCACCAGUGGCGAAGGCGGCUUGCCAGAACGCGCUCGACGGUGAGGGAUGAAAGCUGGGGGAGCAAACCGGAUUAGAUACCCGGGUAGUCCCAGCUGUAAACGAUGCAGACUCGGUGAUGGGUUGGCCUCGCGCCUGCCCAGUGCCGCAGGGAAGCCGUUAAGUCUGCCGCCUGGGGAGUACGGUCGCAAGACUGAAACUUAAAGAAUUGGCGGGGGAGCA